AUUGAACGCUGGCGGCAGGCCUAACACAUGCAAGUCGAGCGGAUGAAGGGAGCUUGCUCCUGGAUUCAGCGGCGGGCGGGGGAGUAAUUCCUAGGAAUCUUCUUCGUAGUGGUUUAUGACGUCCUCAGGCGGCUGCUACUACCUCCUACUUGCUGCUGGAGCUGGUGGGUGGUCUUCGGACCUCAUGCUAUCUGAGGCUCGUACGUCGGAUUUGCUAGUUGGUGGGGUGAAGGCCUACCAAGGCGACGAUUGGCAGCUGGUCGGAGAGGAUGAUUAGUCACACGGGAACUGAGACACGGUCAAGACUACUAAGGGAGGGAGCAGAGGGGAAUAUUGGACAAUGGGCGAAAGCAUGAUACAGCCAUGCCGAGUGUGUGAAGGAGGUCUUCGGAGUGUAAAGAACUUUAAGUUGGGAGGAAGGGCAGUAAGUUAAGACCUUGCUGUUUUGACGUUACCAACAGAAUAAGCACCGGCUAACUUCGUG
This 484-nucleotide ribosomal RNA is filed under the name uncultured bacterium. RNAcentral's name for it is "partial 16S ribosomal RNA". It matches the Rfam family "Bacterial small subunit ribosomal RNA", at positions 30 to 507 of the family's 1533-position model. The record is from RNAcentral.